UACGGGGGGGGCAAGCGUUGUUCGGAAUUACUGGGCGUAAAGGGCUCGUAGGCGGCCAACUAAGUCAGACGUGAAAUCCCUCGGCUUAACCGGGGAACUGCGUCUGAUACUGGAUGGCUUGAAUCCGGGAGAGGGGUGCGGAAUUCCAGGUGUAGCGGUGAAAUGCGUAGAUAUCUGGAGGAACACCGGUGGCGAAGGCGGCAUCCUGGACCGGCAUUGACGCUGAGGAGCGAAAGCCAGGGGAGCAAACGGG
This 253-nucleotide ribosomal RNA is filed under the name uncultured bacterium. RNAcentral describes it as "partial 16S ribosomal RNA". It matches the Rfam family "Bacterial small subunit ribosomal RNA", at positions 524 to 776 of the family's 1533-position model. The record is from RNAcentral.